RNAcentral lists this ribosomal RNA (250 nucleotides) under uncultured bacterium. Its description in RNAcentral is "partial 16S ribosomal RNA". It matches the Rfam family "Bacterial small subunit ribosomal RNA", at positions 524 to 773 of the family's 1533-position model. The record is from RNAcentral.
UACAGAGGUUGCAAGCGUUAAUCGGAUUUACUGGGCGUAAAGCGUGUGUAGGUGGUUUGACAAGUCGGUUGUGAAAUCCCCGGGCUCAACCUGGGAAUUGCUUCCGGGACUGUCAGGCUAGAGAUCGGUAGAGGGCGGUGGAAUUUCCGGUGUAGCGGUGAAAUGCGUAGAUAUCGGAAGGAACACCAAUGGCGAAGGCAGCCGCCUGGGCCUGAUCUGACACUGAGACACGAAAGCGUGGGGAUCAAAC